Molecule: long non-coding RNA, 560 nt
Organism: Gracilinanus agilis (Agile Gracile Mouse Opossum)
Lineage: Eukaryota; Metazoa; Chordata; Mammalia; Didelphimorphia; Didelphidae
Exons: 3
Source: RefSeq, a predicted model, not a curated record
GGAAGAGUGGUGUCUAUUGGACCAUUCUCAGAAAGAGCUAUUCAGGGAGGUGAUGUUGGAGAAUAUGCAGAAUCUACUUUCUUUGGGCUUUCAAGUUCCUAGAGAAGAUCUUAUCUCCUAUUUUCAGCAAGGGGAAUCACCAUGGCUGCUAGAGCAGAAAGUCCCAAGGAGCUCCUGCCCAGAGGCAGAAAUCAAUUUUGAAGUGAAGGAAAUGUCUACAAAGCGGAGCCUUUUUGUGGAAGGAUCUGGCACACAAAGAUGCCUGAAUGAGGACCUUUCUGACUUCAUUUUGAGAGAAAUCUGUGACUCUAAUAUCCAGGGAAAUAAAAAUCUAAAGAGUAAUUGUGAAUUUGAUGAAACUGCAGAGAAAUUCAGCCAAUAUUUGAUGCUAAAUCAGUAUAUAAAAAUUACCUCAGGAAAUAAUUGUUGUCAGGAUAGUGAAUGCAGCAAAUGUUUUCCUGAAGAAGUAGGACUUGUUCAAUCACAUGAGAAACCUCCUGAAAUGCCCAUGUAUCAAGAGAACCUAGGGAGAAUGGCCUUUGGCUGGAUCUUAGACCUUA